GGGUGAGUUAUACAUCGGAACAUGUCCUGUAGUGGGGGAUAGCCCGGCGAAAGCCGGAUUAAUACCGCAUACGAUCUACGGAUGAAAGCGGGGGACCUUCGGGCCUCGCGCUAUAGGGUUGGCCGAUGGCUGAUUAGCUAGUUGGUGGGGUAAAGGCCUACCAAGGCGACGAUCAGUAGCUGGUCUGAGAGGACGACCAGCCACACUGGGACUGAGACACGGCCCAGACUCCUACGGGAGGCAGCAGUGGGGAAUUUUGGACAAUGGGCGAAAGCCUGAUCCAGCAAUGCCGCGUGUGUGAAGAAGGCCUUCGGGUUGUAAAGCACUUUUGUCCGGAAAGAAAUCCUUGGCUCUAAUACAGCCGGGGGAUGACGGUACCGGAAGAAUAAGCACCGGCUAACUACGUGCCAGCAGCCGCGGUAAUACGUAGGGUGCGAGCGUUAAUCGGAAUUACUGGGCGUAAAGCGUGCGCAGGCGGUUUGCUAAGACCGAUGUGAAAUCCCCGGGCUCAACCUGGGAACUGCAUUGGUGACUGGCAGGCUAGAGUAUGGCAGAGGGGGGUAGAAUUCCACGUGUAGCAGUGAAAUGCGUAGAGAUGUGGAGGAAUACCGAUGGCGAA
RNAcentral lists this ribosomal RNA (619 nucleotides) under Burkholderia cepacia. RNAcentral describes it as "bacterial SSU rRNA". It matches the Rfam family "Bacterial small subunit ribosomal RNA", at positions 104 to 719 of the family's 1533-position model. The record is from RNAcentral. Lineage: Bacteria; Pseudomonadati; Pseudomonadota; Betaproteobacteria; Burkholderiales; Burkholderiaceae.